Molecule: long non-coding RNA, 713 nt
Organism: Mus musculus (house mouse)
Lineage: Eukaryota; Metazoa; Chordata; Mammalia; Rodentia; Muridae
Product: predicted gene 15555
Exons: 4
Source: RefSeq, marked validated
UCCUGAUGGAGAAACGAGAUGCUCUUGCCAGCCUUCCUAGCUCCUGUCUCAAGGCACAAAGGGAAUUGGAGCACGUCAAAGUAGCUGGGACUGGAUAGCACCUAUUCUCCAUGGAAAGUUCUUAGACACGCCCAGGCUGAGGCUAAGAAGAUUCGGCUCUAACUCAGUUUACAUCAGAGGGCUUCUCAGUGCAUUUGUAGAAAAUUAAACCUCAACAGGUGUCCUGUUGUAAGGCAGCUCAAAAAGCCCAUGGAAAAUUCCAACUACUGGCUCCUGUGACACCAAGCUCCCUUGUCCAUACUAUUUACAAGGUGACAAUGGACAUCAUUGUACCAGAUCAACAUAAGAUGUCAUCUGGAAAGAACAUUCUCAAUCUGCAGAUGACCCUCCCUGACACCAAAACAUGGCAAGUGUUGGAGCAGAGACUUUGAUCCUCUGAGACCUGACAAAUUAUGAAACUGUAAGAUAAUAAAUAACAGUAAAGUAGAAAUGUAUCUCAUUGGCUAGGGCUAUAGGUGAUAUAGAGUUCAAUGAGGAGAGACAAGAGGACAGUGUCCAAACCUGAGUUCCUGUGUGAGAUAUUUUUUAAUGGUAUCCAGUGACAUGUCCCCUGUUUCCUCCUCUCCCUUUCCUCUUCCAUCUUCUUAAUCAUGAUAGAGGCACAAUAAGGAUAUAAUAUUUUAUAUUAUAAGAUCUGAUUUUACUUGAGUCUG